GACGAACGCUGGCGGCGUGCCUAACACAUGCAAGUCGAACGGAGUAGUUAUUUAAGUUUACUUAAAUAGUUACUUAGUGGCGAACGGGUGAGUAACGCGUGGGUAACCUGCCCUUAAGACCGGAACAACAGCUGGAAACGGCUGCUAAUGCCGGAUGGAUUUACCGGGAGACAUCUCCUGGAGAAGAAAGCUGGCCUCUGUAUAUGCUAGUGCUUAGGGAUGGACCCGCGUCUGAUUAGCUAGUUGGUGGGGUAACGGCCUACCAAGGCGACGAUCAGUAGCCGGCCUGAGAGGGUAAACGGCCACACUGGGACUGAGACACGGCCCAGACUCCUACGGGUGGCUG
RNAcentral lists this ribosomal RNA (346 nucleotides) under uncultured Bacillota bacterium. Its description in RNAcentral is "bacterial SSU rRNA". It matches the Rfam family "Bacterial small subunit ribosomal RNA", at positions 28 to 351 of the family's 1533-position model. Lineage: Bacteria; Bacillati; Bacillota. The record is from RNAcentral.